AUGGGGAGCAGCAGGGGCGAAAACUCCGCAAUGCACGAAAGUGUGAUGGGGUCAACCCGAGUGCCAAUUGAAAAAGUUGGCUUUUCACCGGUCUAAACAGCCGGUGGAAUAAGGGGAGGGGAAGGCUGGUGCCACCCGCCGCGGUAAAACCAGCUCCUCGAGUAGUCAAGACGAUUAUUGGGCCUAAAGCGUCCGUAGCCGGCCUAAUAAGUCUCUGGUUAAAUCUAACGGCUCAACCGUUAGACUGCUAGAGAUACUGUUGGACUCGGAGGCGGGAUAGGUCGAGGGUACUCUCAGGGUAGGGGUGAAAUCCUAUAAUCCUGAGGGGACCACCAGUGGCGAAGGCGCUCGACUGGAACGCGCUCUACGGUGAGGGACGAAAGCCAGGGGAGCGAACCGGAUUAGAUACCCGGGUAGUCCUGGCUGUAAACGAUGUGGACUAAGUGUUAGGGCGGCCACGAGCUGUCCUAGUGCUGGAGGGAAGCCGUUAAGUCCACCGCCUGGGGAGUACGGCCGCAAGGCUGAAAU
RNAcentral lists this ribosomal RNA (528 nucleotides) under uncultured crenarchaeote. Its description in RNAcentral is "bacterial SSU rRNA". It matches the Rfam family "Archaeal small subunit ribosomal RNA", at positions 325 to 855 of the family's 1478-position model. Lineage: Archaea; Thermoproteati; Thermoproteota. The record is from RNAcentral.